Molecule: unclassified non-coding RNA, 749 nt
Filed under: Bombus terrestris (buff-tailed bumblebee)
Lineage: Eukaryota; Metazoa; Arthropoda; Insecta; Hymenoptera; Apidae
Description: misc RNA ENSBTSG00005033513.1
Source: RNAcentral
AAUAAGGCAGCAUCCAAUAAACAGGUGCAUAAAAUAUUUAAUGAAACCUUCUAGCGGUUUCCAUUAGAGCAAAAAGCCACCAACAGCUAAAUCAUAUCGCGUAAGAGUUGAGAAAUACCUAAAUAAAAGCAACACUACGCUCCAACAGCCAACUACUAAUAAAGACUUGAAAGAUAAACGCCUCGUAAGAACAAUGAUAAGAAAAGAAUGGUAUAACUUCUGACAGAAGCGCAACAUCUUCGUACAUAAAUCCAGUAGAAACGUACACGAAGUAAGCCCGGCUAUGACUUUCACGAGAAAAGAACAGACACAAAUAACUAGACUGGGGAUAAGGUCAGUCUUAACAUUACACCUUCGCACUUUAUCGAAGAACAGAAUCCUAAAGCCUGGUAAACUGAUAGGAUAUCAGGAUAUCAUGAUAUUACAUGACGAACUAUUGCCUUUCAUGGUCAGAAUAGAAGAUAGAAAAUUAUUCAACUAUUCAUACAGUCCGCUACGAAAAGGUUGUUUCAUGAUUUUGGAAUAGAACUGUUGCCAUGGUCAGCAUCGAGUCCUGAUCUGAACCCGAUCAAGAAUCUGUGGGGAAUUUUGGCAAGAAAAGUUUGCGACCAACAGAAGUCAUCUAUAGAAAAUAUCGUUGAAUUUAAAAAAGGGAACGAAACUUUAAAUAAGUUAGUGGAUAGCGUAUCUAACAGAUUAACAGGAAUAGCCAUAAAUAAAGGGAAAUCCACUAAAUAUUGAGCGAAAAG